GCCAGGGAAGGGUCGAGUGCGGAUCCCUUGCCCCAGCGGCUAUUCGCCUGCGCACUCGGUCCAUCCCUGGCUCA
Non-coding RNA from Drosophila melanogaster (fruit fly), 74 nucleotides. The record is from Ensembl. Lineage: Eukaryota; Metazoa; Arthropoda; Insecta; Diptera; Drosophilidae.